Molecule: ribosomal RNA, 253 nt
Filed under: uncultured bacterium
Lineage: Bacteria
Description: partial 16S ribosomal RNA
Rfam family: Bacterial small subunit ribosomal RNA
Source: RNAcentral
UACGUAGGUGGCAAGCGUUGUCCGGAAUUACUGGGUGUAAAGGGAGCGCAGGCGGGAAGCCAAGUCAGCUGUGAAAACUACGGGCUUAACUUGUAGACUGCAGUUGAAACUGGUUUUCUUGAGUGAAGUAGAGGUUGGCGGAAUUCCGAGUGUAGCGGUGAAAUGCGUAGAUAUUCGGAGGAACACCGGUGGCGAAGGCGGCCAACUGGGCUUCAACUGACGCUGAGGCUCGAAAGUGUGGGGAGCAAACAGG